UACGGAGGGUGCGAGCGUUGUCCGGAAUCACUGGGCGUAAAGGGCGCGUAGGUGGCACGGGUGGUCGUCGGUGAAAGCUCAGGGCUCAACCCUGAGUCGGCCGGUGAUACUCCCGAGCUCGAGUGUGGUAGAGGCCAAUGGAAUUCCGGGUGUAGCGGUGGAAUGCGUAGAUAUCAGGAGGAACACCGGUGGUGUAGACGGCUUUCUGGACCGUAACUGACGCUGAGACACGAAAGCGUGGGUAGCAAACAGG
This 253-nucleotide ribosomal RNA is filed under the name uncultured bacterium. RNAcentral describes it as "partial 16S ribosomal RNA". It matches the Rfam family "Bacterial small subunit ribosomal RNA", at positions 524 to 776 of the family's 1533-position model. The record is from RNAcentral.